Gossypium raimondii (Peruvian cotton) is the source of this 602-nucleotide RNA transcript. RefSeq lists it as uncharacterized. The record is from RefSeq and is a predicted model, not a curated record. Lineage: Eukaryota; Viridiplantae; Streptophyta; Magnoliopsida; Malvales; Malvaceae. The transcript has 3 exons.
CUAGGUCUGAAAUCCUAUUUUCCUUAACGCUGUAAACAAAAUCCCAUUGUGCAUCAGCUGCUGUAGAGACCCUUCACCCAUGAAACAAACAGCUUCUGACUUUUCAAUCUCUAGUCUCUGUUAUUUUCUGCGAGUUCAUCGGACCGAUCCGUCAUUACCAAGUCCGGACUCGUCAAUAUCAGUUAUAUUCCAUCACUGUAGCGGUUUACCAGUUCUUUCACCGUGCGUGGUACCUCUUCCAUCCAAUAUGGUGGUUCAUCAUACUUCCGUCCUUCCAACACCAAUCUAUGUGCCGCUUUAUUGGCUUCUCUUGAGAUUAGUUUCCUAAUAACAGCAACAGCCUGUAAGCACGCCCUCGCCUCAGCCAUUGUUGGAUCUGAAAUAUUCUCCCAUGGGAAUUAAUCCAGUGUGGGCCCUCCUAGACGUCACCAAUUUGCAACUUACCAAUACAGGACAAACCUUAAAUCAGAUCCACAUGCAAAAGUUUGUAACCAAUCAAAGUGCCUGACCCAUUUACCAACCAAAUCAACAAACACAUAAUGAAAAUGUAUUUUAUUUGAUUCUAAAACUUUUAAGUUGUAAUAAAUUCAGGUUUACUGGUC